AGUGAACGCUGGCGGCAGGCCUAACACAUGCAAGUCGAACGGCAGCACAGGAGAGCUUGCUCUCUGGGUGGCGAGUGGCGGACGGGUGAGGAAUACAUCGGAAUCUACUCUGUCGUGGGGGAUAACGUAGGGAAACUUACGCUAAUACCGCAUACGACCUACGGGUGAAAGCAGGGGACCUUCGGGCCUUGCGCGAUUGAAUGAGCCGAUGUCGGAUUAGCUAGUUGGCGGGGUAAAGGCCCACCAAGGCGACGAUCCGUAGCUGGUCUGAGAGGAUGGUCAGCCACACUGGAACUGAGACACGGUCCAGACUCCUACGGGAGGCAGCAGUGGGGAAUAUUGGACAAUGGGCGCAAGCCUGAUCCAGCCAUACCGCGUGGGUGAAGAAGGCCUUCGGGUUGUAAAGCCCUUUUGUUGGGAAAGAAAUCCAGCUGGCUAAUACCCGGUUGGGAUGACGGUACCCAAAGAAUAAGCACCGGCUAACUUCGUGCCAGCCGCCGCGGUAA
This 506-nucleotide ribosomal RNA is filed under the name uncultured bacterium. Its description in RNAcentral is "partial 16S ribosomal RNA". It matches the Rfam family "Bacterial small subunit ribosomal RNA", at positions 29 to 523 of the family's 1533-position model. The record is from RNAcentral.